This 159-nucleotide ribosomal RNA is filed under the name Rhizanthella gardneri. Its description in RNAcentral is "5.8S ribosomal RNA". It matches the Rfam family "5.8S ribosomal RNA". From Rfam's summary of the family: 5.8S ribosomal RNA (5.8S rRNA) is a component of the large subunit of the eukaryotic ribosome. It is transcribed by RNA polymerase I as part of the 45S precursor that also contains 18S and 28S rRNA. Functionally, it is thought that 5.8S rRNA may be involved in ribosome translocation. Lineage: Eukaryota; Viridiplantae; Streptophyta; Magnoliopsida; Asparagales; Orchidaceae. The record is from RNAcentral.
UAUGACCCUCAAUAAUAGAUACCUUGGCUCUUGCAUCGAUGAAGUGUGCGGUGAAAUAUAAUGUGGUGCACAUUGUAGAUUCAUGUGGACCAUCAAGUUAUUGAAUACAAGUUACACUCGAGACCAACUGGUUGAGGGCACAUCUUCUUGGGCAUCAGG